GACAGGUAUGCUGGAACAAGUUGCAGCUAUAUUAUACAGAUCAAGGACUGGACACAUCCUCUCUAAGAGAUCCAAGGCAUAAUUCCAUAAAGAGGAUGUAAUCUAGACAUAAUGUGCAUAAUGAGUGGGCAGUCCCUAACCUUUGUAGAGUCGAGGCAGGUUGCUUACUGCAGCAAGAAGCUGACAGUGACUGACAGAAAUCUCCCGAAGUGUUUCCAGUGUAGUUACUUCUUCAGAAUUUUUCCUGGACUCCAAGUUUGCCUUGUACAAGUCAUGUGACACACCUCUUAGCUCAGCUCGUGCCUCUCGCAAUUGACCAAGACCCCAGUCAACACCCUCCAGUUUCUCCAGAUGCUCUGGACGACAAAAGACACCUGAAGCCCAUUUCAGCGCAGCACCCCGUGCCAAACAUUCAGCCCUUUCCAGCUCUUGCCACACCUCGACUGGGACAAGGGCCUCUGUCAAUCAAAAUUGAAAAAAAAAAAAUAUGUAGCCCUUAUGUUACGAAACUAGACAAGCUUCAAUUGUGAAAUCAAUAGUGAAUUGAACAGUUGUUCAGCCACCUGACUUGGUCAGUGAAUGACUUAAACACUAGAAUUCUUUAUUUUUCCUGGUGGUCAUGAGACAGACAAGAUUUUAACAAUCAGCGCAAGACUACAUUAGCUAAAAGUGGUUGACAUCAGCUAAGUCUGCAGAUGAAUUGAUCUCUUCUCCAAAGAAUGACUCAUAUGUGUUCUGAUCAUUUCUAUGUCAAAAGUUUCAGAAUUUCCAUUUCAUAUGCCUUAAUCCCAUGGGUGUUCAUGAGCUGAAACACCCACUGGGAAGUAUGUAGGAAUUCAAUUACUGAGACACAGCUUUUAGGGCAUGAUAAAUGACAUAUAUAUAUAUAUAUAUAUAUGACAGCAUCAUGCAAAACACUCUCAGAGGUUCAUAAUGCAGUGACCAAUUGCAAGAGCUUGCCAGCUAUUCAAACUAACCAGAUACUUUUUUAUCAGCCUUAAAAAAAAGCUAAUGUUUCUUUUAACAUUACACAUGUAAACCUUGUAUUUAAUUGAACACAUACUGUUUACCGAUGAUCAUACAAUAACAUGUAAGUAAAAAUAUUGUUUGGAAUAUAUUUAAUGUCUAAAAGGAGAAACUGAAACAUUGAUCAAUAGUUAGACUUCGUUAUUUGCGAAAUUAAAUGGUGUAGCUGUGCUGUCCAUCAUGUUGGUAACAGUCUUCUUUUAUUUAUGGCUUGUUCUUUGGAAUUGUGGAUAGUGAAGUACCAGGAAAUCAACUAAUGAUUUACAGUUUGUUCAAAAAC
This 1306-nucleotide long non-coding RNA is filed under the name Danio rerio (zebrafish). RNAcentral describes it as "lncRNA (ENSDARG00000097916.2)". The record is from RNAcentral. Lineage: Eukaryota; Metazoa; Chordata; Actinopteri; Cypriniformes; Danionidae.